CAUUAUCUUUCGAAAGAUUCAAGGACGUUCCAGGAGUGACCAGUACCAUUGAAGACUUUGCUGAGCGAGGCAAGCAACCUACUUUGAUCAUGUUGAACCCAUAUAUGCAUUACACUUAGAAUUAUUUUUCAUCCAUAAAGUAUUGUUUACUAGUAUUGCUAUUAAGUAAAUUAGCUAGGGUUUAGCUAUGCCCUAUGUGCUUGAUAUUGACACCCCUUUGACAUUCUUAUGCUAACUAAAUUAGCUAGGGUUUAGCUAUGCUUUAUGUGCUUGAUAUUUGACACCCUCCUUUGAUGAUACCCCUCCUUCCUAACCAUGUAGUGGUCACAAAUAAAUGUGGGUCAUAUGUGCAAGUUUAAUAGUAAUGCUUAGCCAUGCUAGUCACAUAAAUCAUAGGACUUGGGAAGAAUCUUUGUUACUCAUAAAUGUUUUACAAAAACCCAAGGGUGUCACUAAUGCCCAUGGUAUGAUUCUGAAAAUAAGGUUAUAUAAAAUGGAGAUUUAGUUAGGUGAUUGUGAUCUUUGACGAGAUAGUCAGUUCGGUGGAUUAUAAAAAUUUAUGUAUAGUAAAUGAGCAUGGUGGUUAUUGUAUUGGCGGAUAAAUGGAACUUCAAUUAACUUGAAGCAAUUUGGAUUUAGUAAGGCGAUUACGAUCUUGAACCAAAUUUCAUGGUGGAUUAGAAGUUUUUGAUGCAUUUAUUUAGUUCAUUGUGAUCUUGAGGAGAUAGUCAAAGAUGUCCGGUGGAUUAAUUAAUCUAGGACAAUUUGUAUUUAGUUAGGUGAUUGUGAUAUUGAACUGUAUUUCAUGAUAAAUUAUGAGAUUUUAGGUGGAUUUAGUUACGUGAUUUAAUCUUGAGAAGAUAGUCUAAAAUGAUCGGUUGAUUAUGAGAUUUUAGGUAUGGUAGAUGAGCAUGGUGAUUAUUAUAUUGGUGGAUAGAUAGAUCUUUAAUUUUGUUUGGAACAUUUUGAAUUUAGUUAGGUGAUUGUGAUCUUAAACCAAAUUUCACGAUGAAUUAUGAGGUUUUGGUUGGGUUUAGUUAGGUGAUUGUGAUCUUGACGAGCUAAUAAAAGAUGUUUGGUGGAUUAUGUGAAUUUAGGUCUAGUAGGUGAGCAUGGUGGUUAUUAUAUCGGUGAAUAGGUAAAUUUUUAAUAAACUUGAGAAAAUUUGGAUUUAGUUAGGCGAUUGUGAUCUUUGAACUAAAUUUCAUGGUGGAUUACGAUCUUUUAGAUGGAUUUAGUCAGUUGAUUGUGAUCUGGAGGAGAUACUCAAAGAUAUUCGAUGGAUUAAAUAUCCUUGAAUAAUUUGAAUUUCGUUAGGCUAUUGUGAUAUUGAACUGUAUUUCACGAUGAUUUAUGUGAUUUUAGGUGGAUUUAAUUAUGUUAUUAUGAUCUUGAGAAGAUGGCAAAGAUGUUAGUGGAUUUUAAGAUUUUAGGUCUAGUAUGUGAGCAUGGGGACUAUUAUAUUGGUGGAUAGACAGACCUCUAAUUUAGUUUGAAACAAUUUGAAUUUUGAAUUUAGUUAGAUGAUUGUGAUAUUUUAACCAAAUUCAUGGUGGAUUUUGAUGUUUGGGUUGGAUUUAGUUAAGUGAUUGUGAUCUUGACGAGAUAGUCAAAGAUGUUCGAUGGAUUAUGUCAGAAUUUAUGUCUAGUAAGUGAGCACACUAGUUAUUGUAUUUGGUGGAUAAAUGGAUUUUUAGUUAACUUGGAGUAAUUUGGAUUUAGUUAGGCGAUUGUGAUCUUGAACCAAAUUUCAUGGUGAAUUACGAGAUUUUAAAUGAAUUUAAUUAGUUGAUUGAAAUCUUGAGAAGAUAGUCCAAGAUGUUCGGUGGAUUAAUUAAUAUUUUUUUGAACACAGUACAAGCGCAAGCGCUAUAUAAACGUGCAUACACUCACCCCUAUGAACGCACACACGCACACCCUACCGCUAUGAGCACCUCCGAGAGACUAAGCCGGCAUAUCAUCUUGAGAUUUUAUGAAGUCAUCGUAGGCGCCUUGUAGUCGAUGAGAACAAUUUGUAUGUAGUUCGGUGAUUGUGAUAUUGAACCAAAUUUCUCGGUGAUUUAUUUGAUUUUAGGUGGAUUUAGUUAGGUGAUUGAGUCUUUGAGAAGAAAGUCAAAAUGUUCAGUGGAUUAUGAGAUUUUAGGUAUGGUAAAUGAGCAAGGUGAUUAUUAUAUUAGUAGAUAAACAAAUAUUUAAAAUUUAGUUUGGAUCGAUUUGGAUUUAGGUAGGUGACUGUGAUCUUUUAACCUAAUUUUACAAUGGAUUAUGAGGUUUUGGUUGGAUUUAGUUAGGUGCUUGUGAUCUUGACAAGGUAGUCAAAGAUGUUCGGUGGAUUAAUAUGUCUAGUAAGCGAGCAUGAUGGUUAUUACAUUGGUGGAUAAAUGGAUCUUUAAUAAGCUUGAAGAUAUUUGAAUUUAGUUAGGCGAUUGUGAUCUUGAACCAAAUUUCAUGGUGGAUUACGAGAUUUUAGAUGGAUUUGAUUAGUUGAUUGCGAUUUUGAGGAAAUAGUAAAAGAUGUUCGGUGGAUGAAUUAAUCUUGAACAAUUUGGAUUUAGUUAGGUGAUUGUGAUAUUGAACCAAAUUUCUUGGUGGUUUAUGACAUUUUAGUUGGAUUUAGUUAGGUGAUUGUGUCUUCAGAGGAUAGUCAAAGAUGUUCGGUGAUUAUGAUAUUUUAGGUCUAGUCGAUGAGCAUGGUAAUUAUUAUAUUGGUGGAUAAACAGAUAUUUAAUAUAGCUUGGAACAAUUUGGAUUUAGUUAGGUGAUUGUGAUUUUAACCAAAUUUUAGGAUGGAUUAUGAGGUUUGAUUAGGAUUAGUUAGGUGAUUGGGAUCUUGACGAGCUAGUAAAAGAUGUUAGGUAGAUUAUGUGAAUUUAGGUCUAAUAGGUGAGCAUCUUGAUUAUUAUAUUGGUGGAUAAAUAUUUUUUUUAUAAACUUGGAAAAAAAUUGGAUUUAGCUAGGCGAUUGUGAUCUUGAACCAAUUUUAUGGUGGAUUAUGAGCUUUUUGAUGGAUUAGUUAGUUGAUUGUGAUCUUGAGGAGAUAGUCAAAGAUAUUCGAUGUAUUACUUAACUUGAACAAUUUGGAUUUUGUUAGGUGAUUGUGAUAUUGAACUAAAUUUCUCUGUGAUUUAUGAGAUUUUAGUUGGAUUUAGUUAGGUGAUUGUGUCUUGAGAAGAUAAUCAAAGAUGUUUAAUGGGUUAUGCGAUUUUAGGUCUAAUAAAUGAGCAUGGUGAUUAUUAUAUUGGUGGAUAAACAAAUAUUUAAUUAGUUUGAAACAAUUUGGAUUUAGUUCGGUGAUGAUGAUGAUCUUUUGACCUAAUUUUACGAUGGAUUAUAAGGUUUUGGUUGGAUUUAGUUAGGUGAUUGUGAUUUUGAUGAGCUAGUAAAAGAUGUUCAGUGGAUCAUGUGAAUUUGGGUCUAGCAAGUGAGCAUAUUGGUGGGUAGAAAUAAGGGCCACACGAGUGACUCAAGGCGAUGAUGCAACUACUGAAAAUAACUGGUAAACAAGGCAAUAGAGGCAGAGAGACUGGGGGUGAUGGCAGCAGAUGGACUUCGAGCUAGCAUCCCACCUGCCAGUGCACUCUCCGUUCCCCAUUGAUCCGGUUUGGUGUCCUUGUCCUGUUUGCGGAUUUGUGUCACGCACUUGAUUAAGCAUCCCAUGUUCUCCUAAUGUGCGCCCUUGGUCUUGACGAUAGGUAGCGCCGUGUUCUUGGGCGCGUCCCGUGGGUAAAAUUCAGGUAUGCGUCGAUUGUCUGAGCUGUUGCUCGCCAUUGUGCCGCCCAGCGAGGGAACACGGGAUGUGGGAUCAAGACAGCACACAUAGCAACCCGCCACCAGGCAACGGACGCCCAUCCGGACUUACAGGGAGUGGAGAUGGACACAAAUGUGGAUGUUGAGCUCCAUAGUAGUCUCAAGUGUGUGCUCAUCAGUAAGAGCAGCACGAGCAAGAAGGUCCUGGAUAUACUCCUCUUAGGAAAUAAAGAAGCCAUUAAAGCUCGAAGAAACCUCAAUCUUAAGGAAGUAGUGACUUUAGUAAACAUGGAGCAAUUUGGAUUUACUUAGGCGAUUGUGAUCUUGAACAAAUUUCAUGGUGAAUUACGAGAUUCUUCAAUGGAUUUAGUUGAUUGUGAUCUUGAGGAGAUAGUCAAAGAUGUUCGGUAUAUUAAUUAAUCUUGAAUAAUAUGGAUUUAAUUAGGUGAUUGUGUCUUGAGAUGAUAAUCAAAGAUGUUUCGUGGAUUAUGAGAUUUUAGGUCUAGUAGAUGAGCAUGGUGAUUAUUAUAUAGUUAGGUGAAUGUGAUUUUGACGAGCUAGUAAAAGAUGUUCGGUGAACUAUUGUGAAUUUAGGUCUAGUAGGUGAGCAUGUUGAUUAUUAUAUUGGCGGAUAAAUAAAUCUUUAAUAAAUUUUGAACAAUUUGGAUUUAGUUAGACGACUGUGUCCUUGUGAACCAAAUUUCAUGGUGGAUUAUGAGAUUUUUGAUGGAUUAGUUAGUUGAUUCUGAUCUUCAAGAGAUAGUCAAAGAUGUUUGGUGGAUUAAUUAAAAAUCUUGAACAAUUUGGAUUUAGUUAAGUGGUUGCGAUACUGAAUUGAAUUUCACGCUAGAUUAUGAGAUUGUAUGUGGAUUUAGUUAGGUGAUUGUGUCUUGAGAAUAUUGUCAAAGAUGUUUGCUAGUCUAUGAGAUUUUAGGUUUAGUAGAUGAGAAUGGUGAUUAUUAUAUUGGUAGAUAAACAAAUCUUUAAUUUAGUUUGGAACAAUUUUGACUCAUUUAGGUGAUUUUUAUUUUUCAACCAAAUUUACGAUUGAUUUUGAGAUUUUUUUGGAUUUAGUUAGGUGACUGAUCUUGACAAGAUAGUCAAAUAUGUUUGGUGAAUUAUGUUAAUUUAGGUCUAGUAAGUGAGCAUUGUGGUAAUUAUAUUGGUGGAUAGAUGGAUCUUCCGUAAAAAUGAAGCAAUUUGGAUGUAGUUAGGCGAUUGUGAACAAAUUUCACGGUCGAUUACAAGAUUUUCAAUAAAUUCGGUUAGUAGAUUGUGAUCUUGGGGGAUGUCAAAGAUGUUCGGUGGAUUAAUUAAAUCUCGAACACUUUUGAUUUAGUUAGGUGAUUGCGAUAUUGAACCAAAUGUUUUGGUGAUUUAUGAUAUCUUAGUUGGAUUUAGUUAGAUGAUUGUGUCUUCAGAAGAUAGUCAAGGAUGUUCGGUGGAUUAUGAGAUUAGGUUUAGUAGAUGAGUAUGACAAUUAUUAUAUUGGUGGAUAAACAAAUAUUUAAUUUAGUUUGGAACAAUUUAGAUUUAGUUAGGUGAUUGUGAUAUUGAACCAAAUUUCUUUGAUUUAUGAGAUUUUAGUUGGGGUGAUUGUGUCUUGAGAAGAUAGUCAAAUAUGUUUGGUGGAUUAUGAGAUUUUGGGUCUAAUAGAUGAGCAUAGUGAUUAUUAUAUUGGUGGAUAAACAGAUAAACUGAUAUUUAAUUUGGUUGCAAUUUGGAUUUAGUUAGGUGAUUGUGAUCCUUUAACUGAAUUUUAUGGUGGAUUGUAAGGUUUUGGUUGGAUUUAUUAGGUGAUUGUGAUUUUGGCGAGCUAGUAAAAGAUUUACGGUGGAUUAUGUGAAUUUAGGUCUAGUACAUGAGCAUGUUGAUUAUUAUAUUGGUGGAUAAAUGAGUCUUUAGAAACAUGGAGCAAUUUGAUUUAGUUAGGCAAUUGUGAUCUAGUACAAAUUUCAUGGUGGAGAUUUGCAAUGGAUUUAGUUGAUUGUGAUCUUGAGGAGAUAGUCAGAGAUGUUCGGUGGAUAAAUUAAUCUUGAACAAUUUGGAUAUAGUUAGGUGAUUGUGAUAUUGAACCAAAUUUCUCUAUGAUUUAUCGGAUUUUAGUUGGAUUUAGUUAGGUAAUUGUGUCUUGAGAUGAUAAUCAAAUGUGUUUGGUGGAUUAUGAGAUUUUAGGUCUAGUGGAUGAGCAUGGUGAUUACUAUAUUGGUGGAUAAACAUAUAUUUAAUUUAGUUUGGAACAAUUUGGAUUUAGUUAGGUGGUUGUGAUCUUUUGACCAAAUUUUACUGUAGAUUACGAGGUUUUGGUUGGAUUUAGUUAGGUGAUUGGAUCUUGAUGAGCUAGUAAAAGAUGUUAGGUGGAUUAUGCGAAUUUAGUCUAGUAGGUGAGCAUGUUGGUUAUUAUAUUGGUGGAUAAAUAUUUAAUUUUGGACAAUUUGCAUUUAGUUAGGUGAUUGUGAUAUUGACCCAAAUUUCUCCGUGAUUUAUGAGAUUUUAGUUGUGUUUAUUUAGGUGAUUGUGUUUUGAGAAGAUAGUCAAAGAUGUCUGGUGGAUUAUGAGAUUUUAGGUCUAAUAGAUGCGCAUGGUGAUUAUUAUAUUGGUGGAUAAAUGAAUCUUUAAUAAAUUUGGAAUAAUUUGGAUUUAGUUAGCCGACUGUGAUCUUGAAUCAAAUUUUAUGGUGGAUUACGAGAGUUAGUUUGGCGGCACUCCGCUUCUUCCUUGAGGAGCAUGUGCAGUGCGGUGGUGCGGGGGCUCGUGCGGCCUGCGGAGGCCUCAGAAGGUGGGCGGUGACACCUGCAACUUGUGCACAAUGGCGACUCCAUGCAUCUCCUGCGCCCCGCAACCCUCUCCUUCCUGGCAUACUCCAUGCAUCUCCUGCGCCCCGCAACCCUCUCCUUCCUGGCAUAGCAGGAGCAGGAGCAAGGAUGCCGAGGCGGUUCAGUCGCGAGGAAGAGUAGGAAGAUCAGGCAGAGAGGGUUUCACACACCUCUUCUACACUGACAAGUCUUUGCUUUUCAGGAUUGCCAUGGGAGCUUUGGAUGGUGGUCUUGAUCUUCCGCACAGUGACAAGAGAUUUGCUGGCUUCAAGAAGGAUAAGAAGCAGCUGGGCGCUGAGAUUCACCUCAAAUACAUCUAUGAAGGUCAUGUUGCUGACUGCAUGAAGUCAAUAGCUGAUGAGGAACCUAAGAAGUACCAAUCUCGCUUCAGUGAGUACAUCAAGAACUGAAGAUCAAGGGUUACAGAUGCCACAAGGCUUGCCUAACAAAGGUUCCCAGAAAAAGGAAUGGUUUGACCAAAAAAGGCUUUGCUCUCCAAGUGCAUAACACUUUCCCACUCCCCAUCGAUGACGAUCUUCCUGUAUGAGCAUUUUCAUCUGUGCUCCCUAUUUUCCUUGCCCCACUAAGAAUGAAGCCAUUAACUGUUGACUGUAAUUGCGAGAAAAGGUACCAUGGGUUGAUGGUGUUGGAUCCAAUCACUAUAUGAUGUAAAUUGACUGCUAUUCCUAAGAACUGCUCCUGGACACAGUGCUCAGCGUGACUUAUGGUCAAACUGAAGGUGCUUAGCAUGGUCUGGUUUCUUUAUGGUCUACUUUACAAGAGAAAACAUUUCUCUGGAAGGAGCUGCUGACAAGGCUUAACAACAAACUGGACGGAGUUCUUCACAUGGCAAACAUAGAUGAAGGAACGUUGUAUGCCUUCACCUUCAGACCCAAGGCAAAGUGCCUCCGCCUCUGUCGAACUGCUCACUCCCUAUGAGGACACCAUCGUAAACCUUCGGUGUCACCUAUAUAUAGCUUGUGUACCAGACUUCAUGUUUAUAAUGCUCUUAGGCCUUGUACAAUGCAAGGUGCUUAGGGGAGCUGCUUAGAGAAAUAAACCAGGCUUUCCUUAAGCACCGGUGCUUAUUUGUACAGGAUAGACGCUUAACUAAGCGUCUCUCCCGUAGAAAUAGCACCGGUGCUUCAGGAAAACUUGGUUCAUUUUUUUAAGCACCUCCCUAAGCAUCUCCUAUUGUACAAGGCCUUAUACCAAAAAAAACAAAAUUCCCACCACGUCUGGGGCUGGCGCACGAUUUUUUUUUGGUGCAGGUAUUGCGAGCUAAUCCUACCCCCUCCCCGCAGUUUCUGGUAAACGUGGGCUCCAUUACCAGCAGUAUCGAGAUCGGAGGCGAGGGCCGAGCAGUUUCAGCGGCGAGCGGGCGAUUUCGCGUUGGGCGCCCUCGUCGGCAUUGGCUUUCAGCCAUGGAGGAAUCGACGCCUCGGCUUCACGGCGACACUUUACAGCGUCUCCACCGCUUUCUGCCCUGAGGUUAUUUGGCGGUGGGCAGCAGCGUGUGAAAUCUACUGCAGAGGAUUUGGGCAUUUUCCUACCGGUGGAAGACCUGCAUCCAGCCCCACAAGUCCUUUACUAGCCCUCCUUGCCGCAGUUCCAUCCUCUACCGUCAGGGCAGACCAGGCUGGUACGAGAUUCUGGCAAGGAUCUAAUUUCUCAGCCCUUUUUCAUUACGUGUGUAUUCUUCAGUAAUGCUCCCAAAUCUCUUCUCACUCCAGAAUUCCAGAUACAAUGCAUCACGUAAUUUCUUUUGUUUAGUUGCCAUUACCCAGAUAUUCAUAGAAUUCGAGUUUGAUUUAUUUGAACUGCAGAGUGUCGUACUGACGCUCACCCAUUAUUUCAGGUUAUUUCCUGUCAAUUUCUAUUGAAUAAACUAGAUGGGAAUGUGUUGUUUUGCUGA
Molecule: long non-coding RNA, 8478 nt
Organism: Triticum dicoccoides
Lineage: Eukaryota; Viridiplantae; Streptophyta; Magnoliopsida; Poales; Poaceae
Exons: 9
Source: RefSeq, a predicted model, not a curated record